AGUUAGGAAGCUUUACUAGGCAAGCAUGUGUUUUGAAAACACAAGAAAGGAGUUAAAAACCCCUACUAACUU
Molecule: transfer RNA, 72 nt
Filed under: Marginitermes cactiphagus
Lineage: Eukaryota; Metazoa; Arthropoda; Insecta; Blattodea; Kalotermitidae
Description: tRNA-Ser
Rfam family: tRNA
About the family: Transfer RNA (tRNA) molecules are approximately 80 nucleotides in length. Their secondary structure includes four short double-helical elements and three loops (D, anti-codon, and T loops). Further hydrogen bonds mediate the characteristic L-shaped molecular structure. tRNAs have two regions of fundamental functional importance: the anti-codon, which is responsible for specific mRNA codon recognition, and the 3' end, to which the tRNAs corresponding amino acid is attached (by aminoacyl-tRNA synthetases). tRNAs cope with the degeneracy of the genetic code in two manners: having more than one tRNA (with a specific anti-codon) for a particular amino acid; and 'wobble' base-pairing, i.e. permitting non-standard base-pairing at the 3rd anti-codon position.
Source: RNAcentral